UGCCCCAUGGCCCAGCUGGCUAAGGCGUCUGACUGUUAAUCAGAAGAUCGAGAGUUCGAGCCUCUCUGGGGCAG
RNAcentral lists this transfer RNA (74 nucleotides) under Agaricus bisporus var. burnettii JB137-S8. RNAcentral describes it as "tRNA-Asn (GTT) (tRNA-Asn-GTT-3-1)". It matches the Rfam family "tRNA". From Rfam's summary of the family: Transfer RNA (tRNA) molecules are approximately 80 nucleotides in length. Their secondary structure includes four short double-helical elements and three loops (D, anti-codon, and T loops). RNAcentral also lists the same sequence under 1 other name. Lineage: Eukaryota; Fungi; Basidiomycota; Agaricomycetes; Agaricales; Agaricaceae. The record is from RNAcentral.